AAAAUUACAUACAAAGUGGAGACCUAAUUAACAGAAAACAUUAAUAGUAUGCAUAGUUAGGCUAAAUUAAAAUUAAUAGUACCAAAUUUGAAAGACAUUUAGGCUAAAUUAAAAUUAAAAAUUAGUUAAAUUACUUACCAAACCAAAGUCCAAAACAGAGUGGAGGCGACUGGCGAAGCGAUUCAGGCGAAGAGGCGACUGGGCCGACUGGCGAUUCAGGCGGCGGCGAAGAGGGAAGAGUCGAACUGUCGAAGAGAUAGACUAGAGAGGCGGGAGGGAAGAGAUGAUUCUGAUGAAUAGAGGCAACUGGCAAGAAUUAUUAAGACCCACUGACCCAGACCUAAUAAAAGGAAGAAAAAAAAAUUAAAUUUUUUAAUAAAACGACGUCGUUUCAUGAGUUUUAAAAAAAAAAAUAGAAAUGAAGAACUGAAGAAGUGAAGAAGUCUCGCCUCUCGGAACUGCUCGUCGGUCGCCUGGACGCC
RNAcentral lists this long non-coding RNA (482 nucleotides) under Panax ginseng (ginseng). RNAcentral describes it as "long non-coding RNA (PGIN_LNC002865)". Lineage: Eukaryota; Viridiplantae; Streptophyta; Magnoliopsida; Apiales; Araliaceae. The record is from RNAcentral.